RNAcentral lists this ribosomal RNA (253 nucleotides) under uncultured bacterium. Its description in RNAcentral is "partial 16S ribosomal RNA". It matches the Rfam family "Bacterial small subunit ribosomal RNA", at positions 524 to 776 of the family's 1533-position model. The record is from RNAcentral.
UACGGGGGGGGCAAGCGUUGUUCGGAAUUACUGGGCGUAAAGGGUUCGUAGGUGGCCAACUAAGUCAGACGUGAAAUCCCUCAGCUCAACUGGGGAACUGCGUCUGAUACUGAUUGGCUUGAGUGCAGGAGAGGAACGCGGAAUUCCAGGUGUAGCGGUGAAAUGCGUAGAUAUCGGGAGGAACACCAGUGGCGAAGGCGAGUCUCUGGGAUGAUGCUGACGCUGAGGCGCGAAAGCCAGGGGAGCAAACGGG